GCUGGGCAUGGUGACGCAUGCCUGUGAUCCCAGUGAUUUGGAAGGCUGAGGCAGGAGGAUCAACAGGUCAAGAUCCUGUCUCUG
This 84-nucleotide small RNA is filed under the name Marmota monax (woodchuck). Lineage: Eukaryota; Metazoa; Chordata; Mammalia; Rodentia; Sciuridae. The record is from RNAcentral.